RNAcentral lists this ribosomal RNA (253 nucleotides) under uncultured bacterium. RNAcentral describes it as "partial 16S ribosomal RNA". It matches the Rfam family "Bacterial small subunit ribosomal RNA", at positions 524 to 776 of the family's 1533-position model. The record is from RNAcentral.
UACGUAGGGUGCGAGCGUUGUCCGGAAUUAUUGGGCGUAAAGAGCUUGUAGGCGGUUUGUCGCGUCUGCUGUGAAAAUCCGGGGCUCAACCCCGGACUUGCAGUGGGUACGGGCAGACUAGAGUGUGGUAGGGGAGAUCGGAAUUCCUGGUGUAGCGGUGAAAUGCGCAGAUAUCAGGAGGAACACCGGUGGCGAAGGCGGAUCUCUGGGCCAUUACUGACGCUGAGGAGCGAAAGCGUGGGGAGCGAACAGG